This 64-nucleotide transfer RNA is filed under the name Argas lagenoplastis. RNAcentral describes it as "tRNA-His". Lineage: Eukaryota; Metazoa; Arthropoda; Arachnida; Ixodida; Argasidae. The record is from RNAcentral.
GCUUUAAUUAGUUUAAGGAAAAAUGUUGAAUUGUGGGUUCAAAGAUGAGAUUUUUCAUUGAGUA